UGCCCUAGUAACGGCGAGUGAAGCGGCAACAGCUCAAAUUUGAAAUCUGGCUCUUUCAGGGUCCGAGUUGUAAUUUGCAGAGGGCGCUUUGGUGUCGGCAGCGGUCCAAGUUCUUUGGAACAGGACGUCACAGAGGGUGAGAAUCCCGUACGUGGUCGCUAGCCUUCGCCGUGUAAAGCCCCUUCGACGAGUCGAGUUGUUUGGGAAUGCAGCUCUAAAUGGGAGGUAAAUUUCUUCUAAAGCUAAAUACUGGCCAGAGACCGAUAGCGCACAAGUAGAGUGAUCGAAAGAUGAAAAGCACUUUGGAAAGAGAGUCAAAUAGCACGUGAAAUUGUUGAAAGGGAAGCGCUUGCAGCCAGACUUGCCUGUAGUUGCUUAUCCGGACUUUUGUCCGGUGCACUCUUCUGCGGGCAGGCCAGCAUCAGUUUGGGCGGUUGGAUAAAGGUCUCUGUCAUGUACCUCUCUUCGGGGAGGCCUUAUAGGGGAGACGACAUGCAACCAGCCUGGACUGAGGUCCGCGCAUCUGCUAGGAUGCUGGCGUAAUGGCUGUAAGCGGCCCGUCUUGAAACACGGACCAAGGAGUCUAACAUCUAUGCGAGUGUUUGGGUGUCAAGCCCAGACGCGUAAUGAAAGUGAACGGAGGUGGGAACCCUUUGGGUGCACCAUCGACCGAUCCUGAUGUCUUCGGAUGGAUUUGAGUA
RNAcentral lists this ribosomal RNA (701 nucleotides) under Ascomycota sp. 62 OA-2013. Its description in RNAcentral is "LSU rRNA". It matches the Rfam family "Eukaryotic large subunit ribosomal RNA", at positions 76 to 796 of the family's 3401-position model. Lineage: Eukaryota; Fungi; Ascomycota. The record is from RNAcentral.